AGGAUAAACGCUGGCGGCGUGCCUAACACAUGCAAGUCGAACGCGCUCUCCCGCUUCGGUGGGAGAGCGAGUGGCGGACGGGUGAGUAACACAUGGGUACCUACCUCACAGUGAGGGAUACCGGCGAGAAAUCGCCGACAAUACCGCAUAGGCUUCUUGUUACAGAGAAGCAAAGUUGCGCAAGCGACGCUAUGAGAUGGGCCUGUGGCCGAUUAGCUAGUUGGUGGGGUAAUGGCCUACCAAGGCGACGAUCGGUAGC
RNAcentral lists this ribosomal RNA (259 nucleotides) under uncultured bacterium. RNAcentral describes it as "partial small subunit ribosomal RNA". It matches the Rfam family "Bacterial small subunit ribosomal RNA", at positions 26 to 287 of the family's 1533-position model. The record is from RNAcentral.